UAACCUACGGGAGGCAGCAGUGGGGGAUAUUGCACAAUGGGGGAAACCCUGAUGCAGCGACGCCGCGUGAGUGAAGAAGUAUUUCGGUACGUAAAGCUCUAUCAGCAGGGAAGAAUAAUGGCGGUACCUGACUAAGAAGCCCCGGCUAAAUACGUGCCAGCAGCCGCGGGAAUACGUAGGGGGCAAGCGUUAUUCGGAUUUAAUGGGGGGAAAGGGAGCGGAGACGGGUGUGGAAGUCUGAAGGGAAAUGCCGGGG
RNAcentral lists this ribosomal RNA (256 nucleotides) under uncultured bacterium. Its description in RNAcentral is "partial 16S ribosomal RNA". It matches the Rfam family "Bacterial small subunit ribosomal RNA", at positions 333 to 607 of the family's 1533-position model. The record is from RNAcentral.